This 3374-nucleotide long non-coding RNA is filed under the name Triticum aestivum (bread wheat). RNAcentral's name for it is "long non-coding RNA (TAES_LNC022482)". Lineage: Eukaryota; Viridiplantae; Streptophyta; Magnoliopsida; Poales; Poaceae. The record is from RNAcentral.
UCCCCGAUUCGUUGCUCCGUCCGCAUCGGUGAGUCUCCUGCUCUUGUCUCUAUCCGACGACCUUCCUUCCGCCAGUUCCGUCGUCUCCAGCAGCCUCCCGCCUCUCUACCCGCGCAGGUCGGCUCCCCCGACGUCUCCGCGUCACCACGUGGAGAGGAACUGCGCGGUCUACGCCCCUCGCCUCCUGGGCGUUGCUCUCCGCCAGUGUUCAGUGAGCGGUGGAGUAGGCAUCCUCUCAGCCGGCUUCCACACGCUUCAGGCUUCAUCGUGCACAAAGGUAGCUCUCAUCCCCUCAUGCAGAAAAUCCGAGCACUCAAUCCACACGUGCCUUCUUUUGCUAUGGGAUUAUGCUCGCCAUCUGUUCCAUGACAUUGAUGACUCUGUUUUUGUUCUUCUUUUGUACAUCAUUCAUACCUUUUGCUGCUGGAAAUUUGCAGUUAAUAAGUAAUGGUGGUUGCUGGCUUGCUGCAGACCGAUGGUGAGUAGUGAAACCACUGUUGUUCACUGACACAGUGACUCAGCCUGCAUCUAGGUCUGGAAUGCCUCCAUUUUGCUCCUUCGUGUCCAAAUUUUGUUGGACAUAGAAGUCCAAUUAGUUAUAUGUGCUUCCAUUUCAAUUUCACAGGCCCCUUCAUCAAGAGUUCCAUCUCUCAUUAUCAUAAACAAGAGCCGGUGGCCAGGACACACGGCGGAGGUCGCCUGCGUCUCCCCAGUCGCCCUGCCACUGCUUCCUUCCUUUUCUCUGCGGCAGGAGAAGAAAGCCUUGUUGGGGUGCCCAAGCCAUGGAGCACCAUCGUCAAGGUCUCGGAUUCGUUUCAAUUUUGGGCUGCUUCUGCUCAUGUUGUUGGUUGCUCUCUUCUCUUGUGUUGGUGAUGAUGUGAGGGUGGCCCUUCCUUUUCUUUGCUACAGUGCAGGAGAAGAAAACCCUAGACCGACCCGAGGAUUUGUCCGACAACCACCUGAGGAGGAAGUAAGCCAUGGACGGACCUCCCUUUCCUUGAAUGCUGCGCCCUCCCACCCAUCUUCCUGCAGCUGCAGGUAACCCCGGCCCCUUCCUCCCUGCGUGCACAUGCUAGUCUGGUCAUUACCCUGGCUGCAUACAGUAGCAGUAAACAUUGUUAGCUUAAUCCAAACUUAUUAGUCUACAAAUCUACAUCGGUGUAGUAGUCUAGGAAAACUAGCUUGAGUCGAUUUGCUUUUCUUGUGUUACUAGUGUCCGGCCAGAAUUAGUAAGGUGUGAUCGACGUGGCCGUAUAAUUAGAUUAGGAAAAGUAUUAACUUGAGUCCGACUAGGACUUGUCCUAGCUAUCUAGCUGCGUUGGUAGGAGUAUAAUACCAGGAUUAGGAAUUUGCAGUCCAAGUCGGUUAAUAGGUGAGUCUGAUUUGACUAGAACCUGUAUCCACUGGUGGUGGCUGCGUCCAUAUAUAUACACCAGCUGGGUUCAUUCAAUGGAGUAACCUACACUAGCUCAUUCACUACUAGUUAGAUCAAUGGAGUAACCUGUUAUUUCCUUUGCAUUCGCCUCUUCUCCUCUCCACCUUUACCCGGUGGAGAAUCAGUUGGGCAGAUCAAACCUCCUGCAUCCUAUUCCUAUUGCUGGAGACAAGAACUAUUAGUCCAUCGCUCCUGGCCAGCUGCUGGACGUGAUGCUGUCUGGCCGGAAGUAGUAGCAGACUCUCAAGCCAAUCCAUCGCAUGCAUGCAUCAAUUGAAUCCACCGUUGAUCAUCAGGGCACUGUCCCAUGCAUAUAUAAGUUGAUUCGGCAAGAAACAUACCAAUCUUAUAUCUGUAAAAAAUAUUUCUAGGAGACCACAAUUCAGAGUAUAAUAUCUAUCGGCAAACUUCUGCAUGGAACUUAUAUUUUUAUGCUAAUAACGAAUUAUAUGUGUAAUUAACCUCGAUUUUUUUAUAAGCUUUAACCUCGAAUUGAUUCAUCACACUGUGGUUAUCUGGGGCGUUUAGUUAUCUCCGUGUUGCCACAAAACUAUGGUAUUCUAGAAAAUAUAAGUACAAUCGAUUGUGCUCAAGGACAAGGGAGAAUUAAAGUGUCACAUUUAGAGCUGUAUUAUCAGAUUGAGCCGGUGCAUGAUUUCUAUAUACAAUUUUGUUUGUUCUUAUAUGUCCUUGGGACUUACUAUUUCCAUAUUUUCUCUUAGGAAUUUGUGAGCUGGAGUUGCAAAAUUUGGAGUUCUCUUGACUUUGAACAUUGCAUUGGCCGCAAAGUGUAGAACGCAGAGGGUACUCCUCAUAAGAACACCUACAUGAACUUAUUUCCUUUGGUAACCUGCUCUGUGUGUGUCUUAGAAAAUAUAUCUAGGUGCAAUGAUAUUCACAACUUAGCAGCAUUUGCAAAAGUAAAGGUUCAAAAGGUAGCACACUCAUGAUAGUGACACAUAUAAUCUUGCAUCCAUUCAAACGAAACUAUAAUUGCAUACGAGUUUACCAUUUUUCCUACAAUGCAUGGCAUCUUAUAAUCCAUUCAAAUAUAUUGUAUCAUUUCAUAUUUUUUAUUAUUCUCAAAGUUUAAUUUCUAGCCCGUGCAGCAACAUGGGUUGAUGACUAGUAUCUAGAAUUAUGUUAUGUUAAAGGAGCAUCUAGAUGCACACUGUUGUGGCUGCCAUUAAAUGCAUGUCUUCUCAAAUUAUUUAAAAGGAAGUGUUGCUGCUGUGCCAUUUAGGUAGUUUCAACAGAUAUGAUGUGCUUGGCUGUUAAUGUUUUAGUGUGUGCUUCUCACCUGCUGUAAAAGGCCAAUUCGGGCAUUGUAGCUGCUUCGGUAUUUGAUCUUCAUAUAUUUUGCUUUUGCAAUAUCCUGUUCUAACAUCUGAAAAUGGAAUACUUUAACAAUAUAAUCUUCCUGACUUUCUGCAACUGAUUUUUGCUGUAGUCCAAAAUUAUAUGUUUGUGUUUAUUGCCUCCUGUAUUUAGAGUAGAAAUAUUCUUAAUAUAGUGUUUCUUGAACAUGGCCAGGGCAAUGGAUAAAAUCUACUCUGGAUAGUUGACAGAGGGAGUACAUGCUAAGUUGACUUUUUUCCUGCGGAUUUGCUUAUCGUGAAGAUGCUUGCAAGGAUGCAAAGGGAGUGGAUCAUUUGGAGAGAUAGGAUGCCACUGUUUGGUGUUUUUAUGCAUUUUGGUUUGCUUGUAACUGUGUUUGCACUAGCUGGGAGUAAGUGACUUCAAGAAGUGUAGGUGUUUUAAUUGAAGGCAUGAAAAGCCAUGACAAUAUGUAUGCUCUUACAUGAUGUGCUCUAAUGCUGCUGGUUUAUUAUAAAUCUUGGAUUAGUAAUGAUGUGUAAUGAUGUUGGUUUAUUGCAAAUAUGUGUUUGUUUUAGUUGGAAUUGUAUGCAUAGAAUGGAAUUGGUGGAUUUUAUUUUUU